This is a non-coding RNA of Vicia faba (fava bean), 207 nucleotides long. NCBI's taxonomy places the organism in Eukaryota, Viridiplantae, Streptophyta, Magnoliopsida, Fabales, Fabaceae. The record is from the annotation of a GenBank genome assembly.
AUGGAAAGCCAGUUUCGAUUGGAGAGGGGACGGUGCGGCGGUGCUCGAACGGGAGCGGUGCCGAAAAAAAAUGUUUUAGGUGGUCGACGCGAAAAAACGAGAACAAAUGGAACUCGGGUACGUUUCCUCUUAACUUCCUUGACUCAGUCUUUACUUUCUUCUUCUUCUUCGUCUGUCUACUUUUUCAUAUCCUGCAGGUGUUGUUGA